Long non-coding RNA from Oncorhynchus nerka (sockeye salmon), 6324 nucleotides. RefSeq lists it as uncharacterized. The record is from RefSeq and is a predicted model, not a curated record. Lineage: Eukaryota; Metazoa; Chordata; Actinopteri; Salmoniformes; Salmonidae. The transcript has 2 exons.
AGGUGGUGGCGGCUGGUCAGAGGAGGUGGUGGCGGCUGGUCAGAGGAGGUGGUGGCGGCUGGUCAGAGGAGGUGGUGGCGACUCUGGUCAGAGGAGGUGUUGGCGACUGGUCAGAGGAGGUGUUGGCGACUGGUCAGAGGAGGUGUUGGCGACUGGUCAGAGGAGGUGUUGGCGACUGGUCAGAGGAGGUGUGGCGACUCUGGUCAGAGGAGGUGUUGGCGACUCUGGUCAGAGGAGGUGUUGGCGACUCUGGUCAGAGGAGGUGUUGGCGACUCUGGUCAGAGGAGGUGGUGGCGACUGGUCAGAGGAGGUGUUGGUGACUCUGGUCAGAGGAGGUGGUGGCGACUGGUCAGAGGAGGUGUUGGCGACUGGUCAGAGGAGGUGUUGGUGACUCUGGUCAGAGGAGGUGUUGGUGACUCUGGUCAGAGGAGGUGUUGGUGACUCUGGUCAGAGGAGGUGGUGGUGACUCUGGUCAGAGGAGGUGGUGGUGACUGGUCAGAGGAGGUGGUGGUGACUGGUCAGAGGAGGUGGUGGUGACUGGUCAGAGGAGGUGGUGGUGACUCUUGUCAGCAUGUCCAAGGGCAGGUAGGGAGUCCCAUGUCAUCAAGGCAUCCCUGUAAUCUGCAUCUUCUUCCUCUGUAUUGGGGCUCUGCGAUGAAGUUUGAUCUUCCCUCAGAGGACAGUCCACAAGCCGUCCCACUGACAACUCGGCGUGCAUAGCCUACAGUCCUCCUCUUGGGUCACCGUUGGUGGAAAACCAGCCAUGUCACCCUUUAUUCAAGUCAGUAUUCGACGUCCAUCUAUGUCUGAGGACGUCGAGAGAUGACAGGGAAACUGACCACUAGGGGCAACGGUGAGCGCUGUUACCUUCAAGUAGGUUUUGGUUAGCUAGGUUGGGGAUGGUGGAUGGGCGUAAACUUGAUUCAAAAGGUUGCAAGGUCGAAUCCAGCGAUAGAAAGUUGUAUUUUGAUAUUUUAGUUUUAAGCCUUCCCUAAAUCUAUACCCUUUCCAUCCGGAGUUAAUGCCUAAAGUUAACCUUAAACGCUUCAGAAUUGGACUUUUCAGAAAGAAUGGAUAAACGUCUACUUGUGAUGCGAGACUGAGAGCUAGUUGGGAAAACAACCCAAAACCAGUAGGUUCAAUCUGAAUAAAACACCUGCUAGCUAGCAUUUUAGUGCUUUUAUGGGAAGGAAUCCAAUUCAUGAUAUCAAGACUUGAUCUGCACUCACGUAGUUAUUGAAAAAAACUAAAUGUUUGUAAAAAUAUAUAUAUAUAUAUAUUUACAUAAAACCGAUUAAAUGUGUACAGAAUUUACACGAGCUCUCUGCCUAGGCUGCCAUUAGGAGCCACGGCAACUAUAGAUUGAAAGUAAUAAUAAUUGAUUCAACAAUAUUAGGUAUUCAAUUACAUACAGAAAUGUUAGUGCUGUAGAGAAAUAACAAAAAUCAUCAUCAUGAGUAGAUUGAUGGAUCAAGAGAUUGAAGGUUGAGAAAGUUCAUGCCUUGAGUGAGGUCAGCGGAGGCAGGUGGUGGUUAAAAGAGGAGAGAAGGCAGCACAUUGUCAUCGUGGUGUCUUUGCCAUCCAUGUUGUCUGUGGCUUCGUAGUAGGACUCAGUCAAAUUAAGUUAGUCGGACUAGCUAGCUAGCUACGGCUACCAAAAUACAGCGCCCACUUGGGUGAUGCUAUUUCAGUCACGAGGCGCAAGAAAGCACAACACGCCUCAAUAGUAAUCCAGGAGUAGCCUUACCAUUUUGUGUUUACAUCGUGACGUAUUUCAUUACGCCGUACUUCAUCUCAAUAUCGUUCCGCUGCAGGAUGGAGUGGGAGGAUUUCACAAGACUAGAUGGAGAGCCUCGUGUCUCGUCAGGGAUUGAAUUGAUUUCAGGAGAUUGUCAAAUAUGGCCUUUUCAUUCAAGACAGGGGAAACGUAUUGUUUCAGUUGAUAAUAAAACAUGGUUUGUUGAGUAAAUUUUUCCUCAACUUGUUAAAUCAAGCUAGCUUUACACCACAGCUAGCUAGCUAAAAGAUACGCUAUACUGUAGCUAGCGACCUCCACCUAAAAACAAACGUCAUUACCAUCAUAAAGACUAAACCCAUCGGCUGUGGUUUAGUAACUUCGUGUUCUUCGAGGAACUGAAGACGCCGUUUGGAAAUAUUCAAAGUAUGCGGUGUCUAUCUCGCAGCGCAGCCAUUAACCUCAAGGGGGCGUUGCUCCGUCGUGGACGCUCCCCAUUCAAAUGAAUGACAUCAGGCCCAAUGCUUACGGUUAAUGUGAAUGGGGCAUUAGUCCUCCAUACAGUCAUCUGUCAUCUCUGUGCACCUCUGUAUUCAGGCUCCAUCCUCAACCUCCGGACAGUUGGCGUAAUUGAAUCAAAACAUUGCAUGCUAGCCAGCUAACAUUAUCUAGCCAAAAACUAACUGCCAACCUGAUUCUUCAAAAAUGUGCUGGAUUCAAACUAUUCAGACUACAAUGAUAAGCUAAAUCAAUAGUUAAUUCAUAAAUGUUUGUAGGGAAAAAUGCUAUACAAACAGUUAAUUAUUACAAAUAUUUACAGGAGCUCUCUGCUGAGGCUGCUACUAGGGCACCAUGGCAACUAUAGUAGUGCACUAUAAAGAAUAGGGUGCCAUUUGGUACAUACAAACAGUCCUCCCAUGGUCCUCCCAUGGUCCUCCCAUGGUCAUCCCAGUCCUCCCAUGGUCAUCCCAGUCCUCCCAUGGUCAUCCCAGUCUUCCCAUGGUCAUCCCAGUCCUCCCAUGGUCAUCCCAGUCCUCCAUGGUCAUCCCAGACCUCCCAUGGUCAUCCCAGUCCUCCCAUGGUCAUCCCAGUCCUCCCAUGGUCAUCCCAGACCUCCCAGACCUCCCAUGGUCAUCCCAGACCUCCCAUGGUCAUCCCAGUCCUCCCAUGGUCAUCCCAGUCCUCCCAUGGUCCUCCCAGUCCUCCCAUGGUCAUCCCAGUCCUCCCAUGGUCAUCCCAGUCAUGGUCAUCCCAGUCCUCCCAUGGUCAUCCCAGUCCUCCCAUGGUCAUCCCAGUCCUCCCAUGGUCAUCCCAGUCCUCCCAUGGUUAUCCCAGUCAGAGCCAGUAGGAUAUAUAAAUAAACUGCCUUUAGGAAGUAUUCACAUCACUGUGGCCUUUCCCACAUUUAGUUGUUUCAGCCUGAAUUUAAAAUAGAUUCAAUUUAAAUGUUUUGUCUCUGGCUUACACACAUUACCCCAUUAUGUCAAAGUGGAAUUAUGUUUUAUUUUCAUUUUUUACGUUUACAAAUUUGUUAAAAAUGAAAAGCUGUCUUGAGUCUAUAAGUAUUCAACCCCUUUGUUAUGGCAAGCCUAAAUAAGUUGCAUGGACUCACUCUGUGAAAUAGUGUUUUUCAUGAUUCGUUUUUUUUUUUACAAAUACCUCAUCUCUGUACCCCACACAUUCAAUUAUCUGUAAGGUCCACAGGAGGUUGGUGGCACGGGCUCGUGGUAAUGGAUGGAGCAAAAUACCUGGAAUCGUCUCAAAUACAUGGUUUCCAUGGUUUCCAGGCGUUUGAUGCCAUUCCAUUGGCUCCGUUUCAGCCAUUGUUAUGAGCCGUCCUCCACUGGUAAGGUCCCUCAGUCGAGCAGUGAAUUUCAGAUUCAACCACAAAGACCAGGGAGGUUUUCCAAUGAAUCGCAAAGAAGGGCACCGAUUAGAAAAGGGGUCAAGAGAAAAAUGGAGACAUUGAAUAUUCCUUUGAGCCUGGUGAAUUACACUUUAUACCCAGUCACUGCAAAGAUACAGGCAUCCUUCCUAACUCAGUUGCCGGAGAGGAAGGAAACCGCUCAGGGAUUUCGCCUUGAGGCCAAUGGUGACUUUAAAACAGAGUUUAAUGGCCGUGACAGGAGAGAAUUGAGGAUGGAUCAACAACAUUGUAGUUACUCCACAAUACUAACAUAAUUGACAGAGUGAAAAGAAGGAAGCCAAUGUUACAGUUUUAGUUUAAAUUGACUCGGAAAUCUAUGGCAAGACAUAAAAAUGUCUGUCUAGCAAUGAUCAACAACCAACUUGACCAAACUUGAAGAAUUUAAAAAAGAAUAAUGUGCCAAUAUUGUACAAUCCAGGUAACCAGGUAACCAGGUAACCAAAGCUCUUAGAGACGUACCCAGAAAGACUCCCAGCUGUAAUCACUCUUAGAGACUUACCCAGAAAGACUCCCAGCUGUAAUCACUCUUAGAGACGUACCCAGAAAGACUCACAGCUGUAAUCGCUCUUAGAGACUAACCCAGAAAGACUCACAGCUCUUAGAGACUAACCCAGAAAGACUCACAGCUGUAAUCACUCUUAGAGACUAACCCAGAAAGACUCACAGCUGUAAUCGCUCUUAGAGACUUACCCAGAAAGACUCACAGCUCUUAGAGACUAACCCAGAAAGACUCCCAGCUGUAAUCACUCUUCUAGACUUACCCAGAAAGACUCCCAGCUGUAAUCACUCUUAGAAACUUACCCAGAAAGACUCACAGCUGUAAUCACUCUUAGAGACUUACCCAGAAAGACUCACAGCUGUAAUCACUCUUAGAAACUUACCCAGAAAGACUCACAGCUCUUAGAGACUUACCCAGAAAGACUCCCAGCUGUAAUCACUCUUAGAAACUUACCCAGAAAGACUCCCAGCUGUAAUCACUCUUAGAGACUUACCCAGAAAGACUCCCAGCUGUAAUCACUCUUAGAGACUUACCCAGAAAGACUCCCAGCUGUAAUCACUGCCAAAAGUGAUUUAUAACAUGUAUUGACUCAGGGGGUUGAAUACAUGUAUCUAAUCAAUAUAUAUUAGUGUUUUCUUUUCCAUAUUAUUUUUUAAAAUAAAUGUUAUAAUUUUUCUUCCACUUUGACAUUAAGAGUAUUUUGUGUAGAUAGUUGACAAAAAAAUAAAUAAUUCACAAUUAAAAUCCAUUUUAAUCCCACUUGGUCACAAAACAAAAAUGUGGAGAAAGUCUAGGGGUGUGAAUUCUUGCUGAAGGCACUGUAUGCUAUAUACCAUUAGGUCCUAUACGUAUAUUAACGUAUAUACAAGGUUAUAUAUAGGGCUCUGAUCACAAUGGUUCCUUAUUGUGUUCAGCUCUGCAGACGUUGUUUAAAUGAUUAAUUACCGUAGUAGAUUAAAACCCCCUGCAUCUUUAUUUACCUAGCCUAUAUGUUAUACUUUAGCUAUUAUUAAAAAAAAAAAAAAAACAUUUAUUUAAAAACAAAAUCAAAAAAUAUGGUAAAAAGUUCUUCGACCAACCCUGAUGUGUGUCAAACCGCCAUGCGUCAGCGAACACUGUGGUUUCCUUGACGAUCAAACAUACGUUACUAUCCGUUUCAACUCCACUUUCUGCAUGGUUCCACCAUUUUUAAACGGUGCGUAUUUAUGAUGCAUGUCGUCGUCCCCCCCCAUUCUGACAUAGAGAACUGAGGCCGCUGACUUGUCCUAAUACACAGGUUUAACAGUGAGUCAAUGCGUUACCAAGCUGGUAUAACUGUUAUAGUCACCAUUCAAAUGAUCUACUCUUAACCUUUAAAAAAAAAAAAAAAAAUGUAUUGUGAUAUUGAAUUUAAUCAACAACAACAACAACAACAAACUAGACUUACAUGUAUCUAUUCUAGCCAACUUUGAAUAUUGUUAAUAAUCCUGGUGUUCUGUGCUCUGUUGCUGUUUUCUGCUACAUUGAUAUUAGUAACACAUCUCUCUGGAUUCUCUUGGAACUAUAUUCCCUAUGUGAUGCACUACUUUUGGAAUCUCUGUUGCCAGGGGGACGGAGAGUUGUGAUAUGGGUCCGGUGGAGACUCUGGAAAGUAGUGUUCCUAAGGGCCCUGGGUCAAAGGUAAUGCAAUGCAUAGGGAACAAGGUACCGUUUGAGACGCAGGCAUAAGGCAUACCAUGUUUAUAAAAAAAAAAGCUUUUGAUUUGAGCAAGCCCCUUUUAUGUAGCUGAGAUGUGUUGCCUCAGAGAGACUUUAGCAUCAAGUACAUUUGGAUGUUUACUUUUUAGUGUUUAACUCAAGACUUAUUGUACUUCUGUUACCAGAAUCAUUAAUAACUACUUUUUCCAUGUAAUUCUCCUGAAGCUUUCGUCCCACUUUAGUGAACAGAGAAACGGUGUACCCCCAGCCCCCCCCCCCCUGCAAGAGCUAUAUAGGAUAUCAGUAUGUAAGAGCUAUAUAGGAUACCUUGACGUAAGUUGACAAGAUUUUUCUGCCUAACUCAUAUGGGUUGUAAAAGAAUGAACUACGGUUGGGUUGGAGAUUGUUGAUGAUUGAGUGUGGUGUAUUUGAAGGCAAUUGAAUGCAACUUACAAAGCUUAAUAAAAUUAUAUUAUUUUAGUAUAA